Molecule: ribosomal RNA, 384 nt
Filed under: uncultured marine Chaetocerotaceae
Lineage: Eukaryota; Bacillariophyta; Thalassiosirophyceae; Chaetocerotales; Chaetocerotaceae
Description: SSU rRNA
Rfam family: Eukaryotic small subunit ribosomal RNA
Source: RNAcentral
AGCUCCAAUAGCGUAUAUUAAAGUUGUUGCAGUUAAAAAGCUCGUAGUUGGAUUUCUGGUGGGAGGGAUCGGUACUUCAUUCUUUGUUGUGACUUGAAUCCUCUCCGGCCAUCCUUGGGUGGAUCUUGUCUGGCAUUAAGUUGUCAGUCAGGGGAUGCCCAUCGUUUACUGUGAAAAAAUUAGAGUGUUCAAAGCAGGCUUAUGCCGUUGAAUAUAUUAGCAUGGAAUAAUAAGAUAGGGCCCUGGUACUAUUUUGUUGGUUUGCGUACCGAGGUAAUGAUUAAUAGGGACAGUUGGGGGUAUUUGUAUUCAGUAUUCAGUGGUGAAAUACUUAGACCUACGGAAGACAAACUACUGCGAAAGCAUUUACCAAGGAUGUUUUCU